GGAGGAUUCAAGCGUUAUCCGGAUUUAUUGGGUUUGAAGGGAGCGUAGGCCGUCUUAUAAGCGUGUUGUGAAAUGUCGGGGCUCAACCUGGGCAUUGCAGCGCGAACUGUGAGACUUGAGUGCAGUUGAGGCAGGCGGAAUUCGUGGUGUAGCGGUGAAAUGCUUAGAUAUCACGAAGAACUCCGAUUGCGAAGGCAGCCUGCUAAGCUGCAACUGACAUUGAGGCUCGAAAGUGUGGGUAUCAAACAGGAUUAGAUACCCUGGA
This 265-nucleotide ribosomal RNA is filed under the name uncultured bacterium. RNAcentral's name for it is "partial 16S ribosomal RNA". It matches the Rfam family "Bacterial small subunit ribosomal RNA", at positions 527 to 791 of the family's 1533-position model. The record is from RNAcentral.